This is an RNA transcript of Drosophila nasuta, 2130 nucleotides long. It is a transcript of the gene named BH3-only protein sayonara, with no coding region annotated. NCBI's taxonomy places the organism in Eukaryota, Metazoa, Arthropoda, Insecta, Diptera, Drosophilidae. The record is from RefSeq and is a predicted model, not a curated record. The transcript has 8 exons.
UCGACGAGUAUGUGCGCCAAUUCACAACAACAGCGACAUGCAAGCGAAACAAAUAUAAAUUGUUUAUACACCCGCCUCACCCAUGACCCUUCAACGCCCCACUUCACUCGCCCCACUAAUAAGCAUUAAUGGCAGUGGUUCGCGAUGAAUGGACAAAUGAAUGGAUAGCUCGAAAGUAGUGAAAGCGAAAGGGGGAGGCGAAAGGUGAGGAGGAGGGAGCUGAGGUGGUGGCAUAUUUGGCUUGUGCUUGACAAGUAACGCGAAAACUUUGUUGUUGUUCCUGUUGUUGUUGUUGUCGUAACUGGACAAAAGGCGGACGGGCGGACAAUGGCCUCUCAUUCGACGUGUGGCAGGCGAGCGUAACGGACGUGAACGAACGUGAACGCGGACGUGAUUGAACGAAAUUGAAAUUCACUUGCCUUGCUCUUCUCGCAAGGUUUGACGAAAAUGUCACUCUUGCUAUUGGCAUUAUUUGUGGCAGUUAUAGACAGUGCUGUUGUACUCGCAUGAUGGGCUGCGGCUCGUCCAUGGAGACGAGCGUCAGCGGCGACCAGGUGCCAAAUGCAGCGCUGUCUUUGCAACAAAAUGGCGGCGCCAACACAACGAAUAUUGUUAGGCAAUAUGUGCGGUUGGAUGAACAGAUUAGCAAAGUGGAGGGCGGUUGUCCGGGUCCACGUUUGGCCACCGCCGAGGCUUGGAUUGAGCAUCUGCAGGCGAAACGCGAUGCCAUGCUUGGCCUGGAGGGAAUGCCCAAAGUAAUGCAGACCGAAACAGCUCGUGACGAGCCAGAGGCUCUGCCACUGACCUUGGCCGGGGGACGAAGCACAGGCAAUGAAAUUGUCGCCAAUACGCCUACCAAUGACCUGGCCCAGCUGGCGCAUAAUCUGGGCAUAAUCGGCGAUCCACGCAAGGCUUCCAUGCACGAGGACUUUUUUGCCAACUUGAGCGAAUCGGCGCUCUAUUUACUUAGCAUACGUUACUACGGCGAACUGCUUGAACACACGAAACAACGCGUUAAAACGCUCUCGGCUAGCUAUGCCGAACUCAAUGAGCUUUAUGUGAACCAGGAUGGCAUCAUUGCCUACAUUAGCGGCGGCACUUAUAUGACCCGCCUCGAGGAGAGCAUCGAUGAGCAGUUGGAGUCGGCGCGCGAUACGCGUGACAAGCUGGGAAGUGCCAUGGAACAGUGGCGCAUUUGUGGCACGCUAUUGCGCGCUGCAGCAAACUCGGCCACACAGGCGUUGAAGCAGUGGCGACAGCUCAACAAGCUAAUCGAUCCCAAGCAAAAGCUGCAAGCAGCGUUGGAUUGUCGCAGCUUACUGCACGCAUCGCUGACGUCCCUUGAGGCAGCACAGUUGGCGCUGCCCCACGUGGAACUUAGGUACAUGAGUCAUCGCCAGGUGCUGGCGGUCAAUCACUGCAAUACUUAUUUAAUAACAGAUAUUUCCAAUGCAGCGCGUUACGAGCACACGAGUCGCGUUUUCAACAGCUACGAAUCAAGCAUGUCCAAGACUUGCACCUGGCUCUAUGAGACAUUUAAUAAAACUCUACGCAGGGAUUUUGAUAAGGCAGAGCAGGCAGUGCGACGUUUAGCGCAGACUCUGCGGGAACAUCGCGAGGAAAUCUUUAAUGCGGCACGCAAACGAAAGAUCUUCAGUGUUUCGAAAGACGUGACUCUGUGCAAAUCGAAAUGAAAACAAUAUUUUUUGGGCUUGUUAUCUUCGCUGUUGUUGUGCACUGUCUUGGAAAUUAUUCCAAUGAUCGAACCAGUUACAAUUGUAUAGACAAUAAUGUAAUAAGCGCAGAGGAAGGUCUGGCUUUCUUGAAGCAUGAAGAAGAUAUUCAAAAAAAGUGGAUUUCAUUAGUUGAACCUUUUAAUGAAUAUUGCACCGAUCCUGCCUGUGCCAUCUGGAAGGCCAAUACACCUUUGAGAGUUCAAGAGAAGCUUGCCAAGAUUAGAUUAAAUUUAGCCGAUGAAGGCAUUGAUUGUACUUAUGAAAUUAAAUCGCAUAAUUAAACUCGUUUGCUGGAUCGUCAAUAAUAGGGCCGCAACAUUUUAUUGAACUUAAUAAAUAAGUUUUAUUUGCUACAAGUUUCAAACCAAACUUUUCGUUUUCGUCAAUUUUCCUU